GCGGUCGUGGUGGAAUGGUAGACACGCAUGCUUGAGGGGCAUGUGGCUGAAUAGUCGUGUGAGUUCAAAUCUCAUCGACCGCACCA
This 86-nucleotide transfer RNA is filed under the name Acholeplasmataceae bacterium. RNAcentral's name for it is "tRNA-Leu". It matches the Rfam family "tRNA". From Rfam's summary of the family: Transfer RNA (tRNA) molecules are approximately 80 nucleotides in length. RNAcentral also lists the same sequence under 2 other names. The record is from RNAcentral. Lineage: Bacteria; Bacillati; Mycoplasmatota; Mollicutes; Acholeplasmatales; Acholeplasmataceae.